RNAcentral lists this ribosomal RNA (148 nucleotides) under Myriosclerotinia scirpicola. RNAcentral describes it as "ribosomal internal transcribed spacer 2". The record is from RNAcentral. Lineage: Eukaryota; Fungi; Ascomycota; Leotiomycetes; Helotiales; Sclerotiniaceae.
AACCCUCAAGCUCAGCUUGGUAUUGAGUCCAUGUCAGUAAUGGCUGUCUCUAAAAUCAGUGGCGGCGCCGCUGGGUCCUGAACGUAGUAAUAUCUCUCGUUACAGGUUCUCGGUGUGCUUCUGCCAAAACCCAAUUUUUUUUAUGGUU